UGGGGAAUAUUGCACAAUGGGCGCAAGCCUGAUGCAGCCAUGCCGCGUGUGUGAAGAAGGCCUUCGGGUUGUAAAGCACUUUCAGCGAGGAGGAAGGGUUCAGUGUUAAUAGCACUGUUCAUUGACGUUACUCGCAGAAGAAGCACCGGCUAACUCCGUGCCAGCAGCCGCGGUAAUACGGAGGGUGCAAGCGUUAAUCGGAAUUACUGGGCGUAAAGCGCACGCAGGCGGUUUGUUAAGUCAGAUGUGAAAUCCCCGCGCUUAACGUGGGAACUGCAUUUGAAACUGGCAAGCUAGAGUCUUGUAGAGGGGGGUAGAAUUCCAGGUGUAGCGGUGAAAUGCGUAGAGAUCUGGAGGAAUACCGGUGGCGAAGGCGGCCCCCUGGACAAAGACUGACGCUCAGGUGCGAAAGCGUGGGGAGCAAAACAGGAUUAGAUACCCUGGUAGUCCACGCUGUAAACGAUGUCGACUUGGAGGUUGUGCCCUUGAGGCGUGGCUUCCGGAGCUAACGCGUUAAGUCGNCCGCCUGGGGGAGU
Molecule: ribosomal RNA, 536 nt
Filed under: uncultured bacterium
Lineage: Bacteria
Description: partial 16S ribosomal RNA
Rfam family: Bacterial small subunit ribosomal RNA
Source: RNAcentral